UACGGAGGGUGCAAGCGUUGCUCGGAAUUACUGGGCGUAAAGCGCGUGUAGGCGGUCUCGUAUGUCUGAUGUGAAAUCCCCGGGCUCAACCCGGGAAGUGCAUUGGAAACUGCGAGACUGGAGUCCCGGAGAGGAAGGUGGAAUUCCAGGUGUAGCGGUGAAAUGCGUAGAGAUAUGGAGGAACACCAGUGGCGAAGGCGACUUUCUGGUCUGUAACUGACACUGAGGCGCGAAAGCGUGGGGAGCAAACAGG
This 253-nucleotide ribosomal RNA is filed under the name uncultured bacterium. Its description in RNAcentral is "partial 16S ribosomal RNA". It matches the Rfam family "Bacterial small subunit ribosomal RNA", at positions 524 to 776 of the family's 1533-position model. The record is from RNAcentral.